AGAGUUUGAUCCUGGCUCAGGACGAACGCUGGCGGCGUGCUUAACACAUGCAAGUCGAGCGGUAAGGCCCUUCGGGGUACACGAGCGGCGAACGGGUGAGUAACACGUGGGUGACCUGCCCUCAGCUCUGGGAUAAGCCCGGGAAACUGGGUCUAAUACCGGAUAUUCACAUUCUCCUGCAUGGGGGUGUGUGGAAAGUUUUUCGGCUGGGGAUGGGCCCGCGGCCUAUCAGCUUGUUGGUGGGGUGAUGGCCUACCAAGGCGACGACGGGUAGCUGGUCUGAGAGGAUGAGCAGCCACACUGGGACUGAGACACGGCCCAGACUCCUACGGGAGGCAGCAGUGGGGAAUAUUGGACAAUGGGCGCAAGCCUGAUCCAGCAAUGCCGCGUGGGUGAAGAAGGUCUUCGGAUUGUAAAGCCCUUUCGGUGGGGACGAUGAUGACGGUACCCGCAGAAGAAGCCCCGGCUAACUUCGUGCCAGCCGCCGCGGUAAUUC
Molecule: ribosomal RNA, 496 nt
Filed under: uncultured bacterium
Lineage: Bacteria
Description: bacterial SSU rRNA
Rfam family: Bacterial small subunit ribosomal RNA
Source: RNAcentral